RNAcentral lists this ribosomal RNA (468 nucleotides) under uncultured bacterium. RNAcentral describes it as "partial 16S ribosomal RNA". It matches the Rfam family "Bacterial small subunit ribosomal RNA", at positions 28 to 507 of the family's 1533-position model. The record is from RNAcentral.
GACGAACGCUGGCGGUGUGCUUAACACAUGCAAGUCGAACGGUAAGGCCCUUUCGGGGGUCCACGAGUGGCGAACGGGUGAGUAACACGUGAGUAACCUGCCCUCAUCUCUGGGAUAACAGUCGGAAACGGUUGCUAAUACUGGAUAUGAGCUUGCAAGGCAUCUUGUGGGUUGGAAAGAUUUUUUUUGGUUGGGGAUGGACUCGCGGCCUAUCAGCUUGUUGGUGAGGUAGUGGCUCACCAAGGCUUCGACGGGUAGCCGGCCUGAGAGGGCGACCGGCCACAUUGGGACUGAGAGACGGCCCAAACUCCUACGGGAGGCAGCAGUGGGGAAUAUUGCACAAUGGACGGAAGUCUGAUGCAGCAACGCCGCGUGCGGGAUGACGGCCUUCGGGUUGUAAACCGCUUUCAAUUGUGACGAAGCGUUUUUGUGACGGUAGCAGUAGAAGAAGCACCGGCUAACUACGUG